RNAcentral lists this ribosomal RNA (345 nucleotides) under uncultured archaeon. Its description in RNAcentral is "bacterial SSU rRNA". It matches the Rfam family "Archaeal small subunit ribosomal RNA", at positions 691 to 1035 of the family's 1478-position model. The record is from RNAcentral.
CCGACGGUGAGAGAUGAAAGCUGGGGGAGCAAACCGGAUUAGAUACCCGGGUAGUCCCAGCCGUAAACGAUGUGCGUUAGGUGUAUCGGUGACCACGAGUCACCGAGGUGCCGAAGAGAAAUCGUGAAACGUACCGCCUGGGAAGUACGGUCGCAAGGCUGAAACUUAAAGGAAUUGGCGGGGGAGCACCACAACAGGUGGAGCCUGCGGUUUAAUCGGACUCAACGCCGGGAAACUCACCAGAUAAGACAGCUGAAUGAUAGUCGGGCUGAAGACUCUACUUAACUAGCUGAGAGGAGGUGCAUGGCCGUCGUCAGUUCGUACUGUGAAGCAUCCUGUUAAGUC